UACACCUGCACUGAAUCGCACAUGCAGGUGAUGAGUUCCAUUUAAACUGCGCCAUUCAUUUUAAUGAGGCAGGAGACAUUCAUUUAAAAUGUGUAACAAAACAAGUUCAUACUGGCCAGGAUGUUCGCCACACCUUCCUUUUGUUGUGACAACCUGCUGCGUCACAAACUUGAAGUGAAUAAAUAAGAGCUGCUCCCCAAAGGUUUUCAUCAAGACUCACACACUUUUCCCUGUCGGACACUCAGAAUCACUAAAACUAACAUGGACGCCCCAGCCAGAGCCGCCGCAGCCACCGCCGCCGCCGCCAAAUCCGCCGCAGAAGCCACCGCCGCUGCAGCUGCCAAGGCAGCAGCCGCCACCAAAGCUGCCGCGGCCCGAUAAUGAUCGUGGUCGUCUUGAUGUGGGAUCAUGUGAACAUCUGAGCAGCGAGAUGUUACUAAUCUGCUGAAUAAACCUGAGAAGCUGUUUUUUAAAAA
Molecule: long non-coding RNA, 476 nt
Organism: Platichthys flesus (European flounder)
Lineage: Eukaryota; Metazoa; Chordata; Actinopteri; Pleuronectiformes; Pleuronectidae
Exons: 2
Source: RefSeq, a predicted model, not a curated record